AAAUUGAAGAGUUUGAUCAUGGCUCAGAUUGAACGCUGGCGGCAGGCCUAACACAUGCAAGUCGAACGGUAACAGGAAGCAGCUUGCUGUUUCGCUGACGAGUGGCGGACGGGUGAGUAAUGUCUGGGAAACUGCCUGAUGGAGGGGGAUAACUACUGGAAACG
Molecule: ribosomal RNA, 164 nt
Filed under: Escherichia coli
Lineage: Bacteria; Pseudomonadati; Pseudomonadota; Gammaproteobacteria; Enterobacterales; Enterobacteriaceae
Also listed under: 2 other names
Description: partial 16S ribosomal RNA
Rfam family: Bacterial small subunit ribosomal RNA
Source: RNAcentral